Molecule: non-coding RNA, 73 nt
Organism: Neoarius graeffei (lesser salmon catfish)
Lineage: Eukaryota; Metazoa; Chordata; Actinopteri; Siluriformes; Ariidae
Source: the annotation of a RefSeq genome assembly
GUUUCUGUAGUGUAGUGGUCAUCAUGUUCAUCUCACACAUGAAAGGUCCCUGGUUUGAAACCAGGCAGAAACA